This 468-nucleotide ribosomal RNA is filed under the name uncultured bacterium. RNAcentral describes it as "partial 16S ribosomal RNA". It matches the Rfam family "Bacterial small subunit ribosomal RNA", at positions 28 to 507 of the family's 1533-position model. The record is from RNAcentral.
GACGAACGCUGGCGGCGUGCUUAACACAUGCAAGUCGAACGGAAAGGCCCUGCUUUUGUGGGGUGCUCGAGUGGCGAACGGGUGAGUAACACGUGAGUAACCUGCCCUUGACUUUGGGAUAACUUCAGGAAACUGGGGCUAAUACCGGAUAGGAGCUCCUGCUGCAUGGUGGGGGUUGGAAAGUUUCGGCGGUUGGGGAUGGACUCGCGGCUUAUCAGCUUGUUGGUGGGAUAGUGGCUUACCAAGGCUUUGACGGGUAGCCGGCCUGAGAGGGUGACCGGCCACAUUGGGACUGAGAUACGGCCCAGACUCCUACGGGAGGCAGCAGUGGGGAAUAUUGCACAAUGGGCGGAAGCCUGAUGCAGCAACGCCGCGUGCGGGAUAACGGCCUUCGGGUUGUAAACCGCUUUCGCCUGUGACGAAGCGUGAGUGACGGUAAUGGGUAAAGAAGCACCGGCUAACUACGUG